This 324-nucleotide ribosomal RNA is filed under the name uncultured eukaryote. Its description in RNAcentral is "partial 18S ribosomal RNA". It matches the Rfam family "Eukaryotic small subunit ribosomal RNA", at positions 1470 to 1796 of the family's 1831-position model. The record is from RNAcentral.
CCCUUAGAUGUCCUGGGCUGCACGCGCGCUACACUGAUGUGUCCAGUAAGCACCUAACCUCUUCCGAAAGGAACGGGUAACCUUUGCAAAGCACAUCGUGAUGGGGAUAGAUUAUUGCAAUUAUUAGUCUUGAACGAGGAAUUCCUAGUAAGCACAAGUCAUCAGAUUGUGUUGAUUACGUCCCUGCCCUUUGUACACACCGCCCGUCGCUCCUACCGAUUGAAUGUUCCGGUGAGCUCUUCGGACUGCGCGGUCUGCAGUUUCUGCGUUCCGUGCGGAAAGUUGCGCAAACCUUAACAUUUAGAGGAAGGAGAAGUCGUAACA